UGCAGUCGAACGAUGAAGCCCAGCUUGCUGGGUGGAUUAGUGGCGAACGGGUGAGUAACACGUGAGUAACCUGCCCUUAACUCUGGGAUAAGCCUGGGAAACUGGGUCUAAUACCGGAUAGGAGCGUCCACCGCAUGGUGGGUGUUGGAAAGAUUUAUCGGUUUUGGAUGGACUCGCGGCCUAUCAGCUUGUUGGUGAGGUAAUGGCUCACCAAGGCGACGACGGGUAGCCGGCCUGAGAGGGUGACCGGCCACACUGGGACUGAGACACGGCCCAGACUCCUACGGGAGGCAGCAGUGGGGAAUAUUGCACAAUGGGCGAAAGCCUGAUGCAGCGACGCCGCGUGAGGGAUGACGGCCUUCGGGUUGUAAACCUCUUUCAGUAGGGAAGAAGCGAAAGUGACGGUACCUGCAGAAGAAGCACCGGCUAACUACGUGCCAGCAGCCGCGGUAAUACGUAGGGUGCGAGCGUUAUCCGGAAUUAUUGGGCGUAAAGAGCUCGUAGGCGGUUUGUCGCGUCUGUCGUGAAAGUCCGGGGCUUAACCCCGGAUCUGCGGUGGGUACGGGCAGACUAGAGUGCAGUAGGGGAGACUGGAAUUCCUGGUGUAGCGGUGGAAUGCG
Molecule: ribosomal RNA, 620 nt
Filed under: Micrococcus sp.
Lineage: Bacteria; Bacillati; Actinomycetota; Actinomycetes; Micrococcales; Micrococcaceae
Description: bacterial SSU rRNA
Rfam family: Bacterial small subunit ribosomal RNA
Source: RNAcentral